GGGGGAUAUUGCACAAUGGGGGAAACCCUGAUGCAGCGACGCCGCGUGGAGGAAGAAGGUUUUCGGAUUGUAAACUCCUGUCGUUAGGGACGAUAAUGACGGUACCUAACAAGAAAGCACCGGCUAACUACGUGCCAGCAGCCGCGGUAAAACGUAGGGUGCAAGCGUUGUCCGGAAUUACUGGGUGUAAAGGGAGCGCAGGCGGGAAGACAAGUUGGAAGUGAAAACCAUGGGCUCAACCCAUGAAUUGCUUUCAAAACUGUUUUUCUUGAGUAGUGCAGAGGUAGAUGGAAUUCCCGGUGUAGCGGUGGAAUGCGUAGAUAUCGGGAGGAACACCAGUGGCGAAGGCGGUCUACUGGGCACCAACUGACGCUGAGGCUCGAAAGCAUGGGUAGCAAACAGGAUUAGAUACCCUGGUAGUCCAUGCCGUAAACGAUGAUUACUAGGUGUUGGGGGAUUGACCCCCUCAGUGCCGCAGUUAACACAAUAAGUAAUCCACCUGGGGAGUACGACCGCAAGGUUGAAACUCAAAGGAAUUGACGGGGGCCCGCACAAGCAGUGGAGUAUGUGGUUUAAUUCGAAGCAACGCGAAGAACCUUACCAGGUCUUGACAUCCGAUGCAUAACACAGAGAUGUGUGAAAUCCUUCGGGACAUCGAGACAGGUGGUGCAUGGUUGUCGUCAGCUCGUGUCGUGAGAUGUUGGGUUAAGUCCCGCAACGAGCGCAACCCUUAUUGCCAGUUACUACGUUAAGAGGACUCUGGCGAGACUGCCGUUGACAAAACGGAGGAAGGUGGGGAUGACGUCAAAUCAUCAUGCCCUUUAUGACUUGGGCUACACACGUACUACAAUGGCGUUAAACAAAGAGAAGCAAGACCGCGAGGUGGAGCAAAACUCAGAAACAACGUCCCAGUUCGGACUGCAGGCUGCAACUCGCCUGCACGAAGUCGGAAUUGCUAGUAAUCGUGGAUCAGCAUGCCACGGUGAAUACGUUCCCG
Molecule: ribosomal RNA, 997 nt
Filed under: uncultured bacterium
Lineage: Bacteria
Description: bacterial SSU rRNA
Rfam family: Bacterial small subunit ribosomal RNA
Source: RNAcentral